RNAcentral lists this ribosomal RNA (459 nucleotides) under uncultured bacterium. RNAcentral's name for it is "partial 16S ribosomal RNA". It matches the Rfam family "Bacterial small subunit ribosomal RNA", at positions 338 to 795 of the family's 1533-position model. The record is from RNAcentral.
CCUACGGGUGGCAGCAGUGAGGAAUAUUGGUCAAUGGGCGCGAGCCUGAACCAGCCAAGUCGCGUGAGGGAAGACGGUCCUAUGGAUUGUAAACCUCUUUUGUCGGGGAGCAAAAGACGCCACGCGUGGCGUUCCGAGAGUACCCGAAGAAAAAGCAUCGGCUAACUCCGUGCCAGCAGCCGCGGUAAUACGGGGGAUUCGAGCGUUAUCCGGAUUUAUUGGGUUUAAAGGGUGCGCAGGGGGAAGAUCAAGUGAGCGGUAAAAUUGCGAGGCUAAACCUCUUUGAGCCGUUGAAACUGGUUGUCUUGAGUGAGUGAGAGGUAUGCGGAAUGCGUGGUGUAGCGGUGAAAUGCAUAGAUAUCACGCAGAACUCCGAUUGCGAAGGCAGCAUGCCGGAGCACAACUGACGCUCAUGCACGAAAGUGUGGGUAUCGAACAGGAUUAGAUACCCCUGUAGUC